AUUGAACGCUGGCGGCAUGCUUUACACAUGCAAGUCGAACGGUAACAGGUCUUCGGAUGCUGACGAGUGGCGAACGGGUGAGUAAUACAUCGGAACGUGCCUAGUAGUGGGGGAUAACUACUCGAAAGAGUAGCUAAUACCGCAUGAGAUCUACGGAUGAAAGCAGGGGACCUUCGGGCCUUGUGCUACUAGAGCGGCUGAUGGCAGAUUAGGUAGUUGGUGGGGUAAAGGCUUACCAAGCCUGCGAUCUGUAGCUGGUCUGAGAGGACGACCAGCCACACUGGGACUGAGACACGGCCCAGACUCCUACGGGAGGCAGCAGUGGGGAAUUUUGGACAAUGGGCGAAAGCCUGAUCCAGCAAUGCCGCGUGCAGGAUGAAGGCCCUCGGGUUGUAAACUGCUUUUGUACGGAACGAAAAGCCUGGGGCUAAUAUCCCCGGGUCAUGGCGGUACCGUAAGAAUAAGCACCGGCUAACUACGUGCCAGCAGCCGCGGUAAUACGUAGGGUGCAAGCGUUAAUCGGAAUUACUGGGCGUAAAGCGUGCGCAGGCGGUUUUGUAAGACAGUGGUGAAAUCCCCGGGCUCAACCUGGGAACUGCCAUUGUGACUGCAAGGCUAGAGUGCGGCAGAGGGGGAUGGAAUUCCGCGUGUAGCAGUGAAAUGCGUAGAUAUGCGGAGGAACACCGAUGGCGAAGGCAAUCCCCUGGGCCUGCACUGACGCUCAUGCACGAAAGCGUGGGGAGCAAACAGGAUUAGAUACCCUGUAGUCCACGCCCUAAACGAUGUCAACUGGUUGUUGGGUCUUAACUGACUCAGUAACGAAGCUAACGCGUGAAGUUGACCGCCUGGGGAGUACGGCCGCAGGUUGAAACUCAAAGGAUUGACGGGGACC
Molecule: ribosomal RNA, 892 nt
Filed under: uncultured bacterium
Lineage: Bacteria
Description: bacterial SSU rRNA
Rfam family: Bacterial small subunit ribosomal RNA
Source: RNAcentral